RNAcentral lists this long non-coding RNA (7101 nucleotides) under Lynx pardinus (Iberian lynx). Lineage: Eukaryota; Metazoa; Chordata; Mammalia; Carnivora; Felidae. The record is from RNAcentral.
CAGCCGGCUAGCGGGGCGAGAGGGGAGUCUCCCUCCCAUGGUCCCAGGGUGGGGAGCUGACUUUAGGGACAGGGAGGGAGAGCCCUAGAGCCGAGGGGCUAUGAGGGGGGCUAUGCAGCACUGAGGGUGCUCGCUCACCCAGGCAGGUAGCUCUCGAUGGCUCAUAUAAAGUGUUUUCGCCGUGAGCCGCUCCUCAUCGUCCAGCAGCUGCCGCGCUGCCCGAAGGCUCCGUUCUUUCUCGUCGCGGACCCGGCGCCAGCCCAGGUAGAGGGCGAGGCCGAAGAGCACGAAACCCACGCUGAGUCCCACUGCCCCAGCCAGGUACACCGGCACGAGCACAAGCAGCCGCCGCCCGAAUGAAGUCAGCAGCGCUAGGGCCUCACCCGCCGCGCCUGGGCCGGCAGGUUGGUUCCCAGAACUCAGGUCCCGCUUUGUGUGAGCAGCGGGGGGCUGGUCAGGGGGGUCGGAGGGAGCAGAGGGCUGAUCCGCGGGGCUGGGGCUGGAGCCGUCUCCAGGAGAGCGCUCCAUGUUGCCACCUCUGGGAGGACCCGCCCGACCCAGAGACUAGGAGAAGGUUGCUUAGCCUAGCGACCAGCUGCCCCCAACAAACCGUAACCCCUAGGCUGGGGGAGGGGAAUUUAAGCCACGCCCCUUCUUUCUGAGGGCUCGGGUUGGCCGGCGCUGCAUAGACCAAGGCGGAGUCAAAAGACAGAAACCCUGCCCCUCUUCCGCCGGGAGGCGCUAGGGUUCGGGAGAGGCAGGACCUCCCUGAUUAGAUCGAGUGUCAAGAUGGGCAGCCUGGGAUGGCGGGAAAAGGAGGAAAGAGGCUAAAAGAGCGGCACUUGAUUGGUCAGAAAGAGGAGGCGUGGUGUACCAUUUAAAGAGAUGAGGCCCUGGCGCUCCCCCACGUGGAAUGGGAGUGCCUGUGGUAUGACAUCAUGCGGAGCCGCACCGCCAAUUACUCCGUUUUAGAGGGACUUGGGGUUGAGGGGUUGUGGAGGAUGAGGAUUUACUUCCACUCCAUUCGGACGGGUUGGCAGGAUUUGUCUGGAAUUCCUACAUGUUCGUUUGUCAGCUUUCCCUAGUUUUUAUAUUCUAAGCACGUUUCUUAUUCUUCGGGGUUUCCGUGGCUGGCCUUACAAAACACCCCAUGUGGAAUGAAAGGUUCUGUCUAUGCGGUCUUCAGCCCUCUACUUUGUGCAGUGUAACGACAGACGCUACAGAAAAACUGGAGAAUACGAGAAUUAGAGUUAGGAUUCUCCAGCCUUCAGGGAAGAGAGAGAGAGACAGAGAGAAAACGGUGUGAAUAGGAAGUGAGGCUUUAUUUCUUAUUAGUAAUCUCCAAGAUUUAGUUAGUUAUCUUUAUCAUAGAGGGCAAAUUAAACUGGCUCCCAAACGGUGGGGGCGGGAGUGGGGAGGGGAGAUGCCUCGGCUGCAGUGGAAUUGGUUACAUUUCCCAUGAUUUCCCUGAUCCUGAGGAACUGAAAUGAAGAGUAAUGAGACAAUUCUGUUUCUUAUUUGCCUGAGUUGGAAGGAAAGUUCGGAAUACAGUAACAUGUAGAACUAAUGCAAUUCCAUGUUGUAUAGUGUAUGUGUAGGAAGGGAAAAGCGCAGGGUACAUUGAUGAUGACUACUGUUACUAGUUAACUGGACUUAGAAACUAGACUAAUUGGAAGCUCAGGAGGGAAGAAUUGGUCAUAAAAUGAUUAUCUUUUAAUGCAGUAUGUGUGCAGCUUGUUGUGUUAUUGUUUGAAGCAACAGGAAAAGUAGGGUUGAUUGGUGGGGAGAGACUAGAUCUGCAGCAGAUAAAUAUUAUCUGGCUCUGCAGGGCAUAGAUUCUAUCAGACUGUUUCAUCAACUCUGUUUAAAACCUAUUCCUGCUCAACCUUACCCCCUUAAAUUUUCUGACUUCCCCUUCUCUACUUCCCUGAGGCUAAACAGUAUCUAGAGUGCUUCAUUCAGUGUGCAGAACUGUGUAAGGAACAACUUUCUGCCUUUUACAUCUUCCGUGUUCUCAGAGGUAAGCAGGUAGGAAGGAGCUCAUGGAAUCUGGAAGAGGUAAGAGUGACCUGCUCACUACGCAGAAUACAGCAGGAAAAUGGAUGCGCCUCCUUGGAGGGAAAUCUCUCUGUAAACUGAAUUUUGCCAAGCACUAGAGUAGGAGGAGCAGGUCACUUAGGCUGGGGGGUGAGAGGGUGACCUAUGGAGUUUCUUUCCAAGCUUCUCUGCUUUCUCACCCCAUCUAGAUCAUCAGACCCUUCUACCAAAGACAGUCUGUGGAAGAUGAAAACUAAUCCUCAGGAAGGUCUCUUCCCAGCUGAGGCCCAGGAGGCAUAGGAUCUGCAGCUGCAAUGCAGGCACCAGAACAAGUAAACAGGGUGGGUCCCUGCCAGUAGACAAUUCUGCAGUCCAGGUGCCACCUGGUGGUGAUAAGCAGUAAAUCUGUAACAGGAGAAAGCAUGGCCAUUUGUUCGAGGAAGUGUCUAAGUGAGAAUACCCAAACUUCCUGGAUUUGCAAUCUGCAUUUAAUAUGUAAACUUCAUUAACAUCCUCAGGGAGGGAGAGGAUUAGAUGUGGUAACCUAGUCCUUGCCCCCUCUCCAAGAUGGAAGGAGCAACAGGAUUUGAGGUAAUAUCCUCUAUUAUUCCUCAAAAGUUACUGCAAAGUAGGUCUAUCAUUAGAACUUUUUUAUGCCAAGUCUGGAGUCUGACUGCCUGAAUGCCUGGCUCCAUUCCUUAGUAGUUGCAGAACCCUGGGCAGCUUACUCUCAUUAAGCCUUUCUCCUCUGCAAACUGGGUUGUAUAACAGAACCCAUUGUGUCAAAGAGAAAUUGCGUGUAAAGUGCCUAGCACAGUGCCUUGGCUUAUAUUAUUAAGUACUCAGUAAAUGUUAGCUAUUAUUCUAGAACUCCCUAUUUAUUUCCUAUGCAGCAAGACAGGACCUUUUCUCCAUUGGAGAGCCCUUCAAAUAUUUGAAGACAUCUAUUAGGUUUCCCCUCAGUCUUGUCAGGUUUUUUUUUCUGCUAUCCCCACUGAUUUAUCAAUGGGUCUCUUUGAAAAUUACACUUAGAACACAGAAUCCUUUAAGAGUGGUUUCACUCAAAAAGACGUGGUAGAACUGUUAUAUUUACAAUGUAUUACUAUGGUUCUCUUACCCUUUUGGAGCUCCUCAGAAGGUGCUUAGAACAUAGCAGGCUCUUAGUAUUUAUGGAUUGACAUACUAUAGGACUGAGUUUAAUUUUUUUGUAACCAAUUGAAGUCCUGUGUUGUUUUCAUGUGAAUUAUUGCUAACGUAGUUCUCUGCAGUUCUUUCUCAGACAGGCUCAAGCAAUUUUUUAGGGAGAGGGUCAAUCCAAAUUGAUCCAAACUGACCUCUUGGAUUAAUUCAGUCAAUCCAAAUUACAGCACUUUCAGGUUUACUUGGUAUUUCCGUGUGUUAAUGUUGGUAACAGGGCUUUUCAUAUUUUUAUAUAAAUUUUUUAAGUAAAACAUAGCCCUUGAGUGUAUCACUAGAGACCAGAAGUUUCUCUAACAAAAUGCGCUAAUCAACAUUUACUACACAAAGAUGUUGAGUUUUGACUCCGCCAAACUCUACCAUUAACUGACCCAUAAUUAUUCUCUUUUCUGCAAUGACUUAGCAGAUGAGGAAGAGCAAAGCAGCCCUGCCAUCUGGGGACAGGCCUGGCAGUGCUGGGCUUCGGGUUGUUAAGGGCUGACCUGGGCUCACAGCUAGGAAAUGAUGUUCUCCUACUGGACACAAUCUCAUGAAACACCAACAUCACACAAUGGCACUCAGUGACUGUGAUGAAGUGAGGCAAAAAAAACCAAGAUCACACUUCACAAUUUUGUUUAAACACAAAACAAGGUCAGUGUGCAAGUCAUGAAAUAGCAAACAUCCCCUUCUCCCAACUAAUGGGUGACUGCUGCUUUAUUACCAAUUUCAGCUUCACUCUAGUCUGCUCUUUUCCUAGUUAAGAUACCCAAUCACAGAAGUAUCCCUGCUUCCCUGACAGCACCCAGUGGAACCAAGCCCCACUUCCUUGAACCUUCCCCCAAAUCACUUAACCAGAGUCCCAAGUCCUAAAAGUCCUUUCUAAUGUCCCUUUGCUAGGCAUGGGUCCCAUGGCACACUCUCCAUAACUGCAGUGAGCAUUAAACCCAAUUUGUUUGACUACAGGUGUAUUCCUGGCAGUCUUUGGCUGGCAUAUGUUAAGAAGAUACAAUGAUUACAGUUUCCCAAAUCUACCUCUUUAGAGAUACUUGGCAAAAAGAAAAUAGUCAGGAUUUGGCUGGGAUGAACUCAUGUUGGUAUCUAUCAUCACAUUUGUCUCUACUCAUAAACCAUUUCUUUUAAUAAUCCAGAACUGUGCCAGAAAAAUCAACAUUAAGCUUACCAAUGUGUGGUUUCUAGAGUCCACACACAAUAUUUCAGUAUUUGACCACUUCUAGUCUUUAGGCCUUUUCUUUUUUUAUGACCAGCCUUGACUGAGCAUACCAUCUCCAACCCCAGGUGUAACCUGAGUGAUCAACCAGACAAAACAAGAGGUAGCAGCAGAUAUGAUGGGGGAAGCACAACUCAGAACCAUGUUCUGUAUCCCAAAUCCACUGUCUCAUCAGACUAGAUACCUGAGUUGUUUCCCCUACAUCAACUACGAGCUGAGGAGGAACUGAGGUUUGGCUACUGGGGUCCCUGGCCUUAUGGACUCUUAAUUGGAUUUAAAACCUCUGUGGUUCUAUAUGGAGGCAAAGGGAAGAGAUGAACCCUGAGGUUUGUGUCCCCAGGAGAACUUUCCUUUUCCCAGCACCUCCCAAGCCUUGAAGGCUUAAGGCAUUGGUAACUGAGGAAGGGAUGGGGUAAGAGGGGCAUUAACUGUCAUCAACCACUCAGAGAGCAACUGCCACCUGCCCUGCUGUUUGAAUAAGGGAUCUGUCAAUACAUAUCCCAUUCCCAUUUCCCAGCACAUCCACCCCUCCUUAGUACCUGCCCCCCUAAAUGACCCCAGGAGCCCUGGUUACUAAGGUAUCCUGGGAAUAGUAUCAUGCAGAUAGAAACCAGCAACAGAUGGGACUAUUUUUAAACUAGACUAGGUGGCUCCAAUGCUUUUACCCCACAAAGCGCCGUUUAAUUUUGCUCUGGGUCCCUACCCUUCACCUGGCCUCUGCCCAACCUUAUCCAAGCUGUGUGAGGGUGGGGUCUUUAUCCCAUUUUGGCAUGAGAUAUAUUUACUGCUCUCAUCUUCCACACAGUUUAUCUAAGCAAGUUUUCACUGCCUCCAUUUGUUAAAAAUAAUUCUUUUUUUAUUUCUUUGGAAAGUGGUGGGCCCUGCCCUAUGGAUUUCCAAGCCAAGCCAAGGUAAUGAAUGCUCCCCUAGUCUUUGGACUGGAGUACUAUGGUCCCCACCUUCCCUUGGGCCCCGGAACAGUUUCCUGUAUUCUCCAACUCAACUAGGCCCCCAAUUGUCUGAAGGCUCCUAUUAGGCCUUCUCUCCUGGCCACCCACUUCCCAAUCUCUCCUGGCUUUCCCUCUGGGCAGGGUUUUUUUUUUGUUUUUUUUCUUCCAAAGCCAGUGCUGGAACCUGUGCUAUGCAGAAGAGAGGACAAGACAAGGGAUGUCCCCAUCUUCCCAUCAGGGUACAUACGGCCCCUCAGUCAGUCCUUCCUCUCUGCUGGCUUCAGUCUGCACUCCUAUGAAAGCCCCCUCUGUGAGGCUUGAAGGAAGAUGGACAAGAGGACCCUCAUAAAAGGGAGGUGAGAGAAAACAGACCAGCCCAACCCUUUCUCAGAAGCAAACUCCUUGUAGUCUCUUGUCCUAGUUCUUGAGUGAGCCCUUCAGACAGGGCCUGGGAGGGCUAGGCGAGUGGGUAAGGGCCCCUCGACCCCAGCCCUGGGAGGCUAUACCAGGGGAGUGUCCAUUAGCCCCAUCAGUGUGGCAUGGCUGUGAUACGCAUGCUCUGGGAAGCGAUGGGGUAAGUCACCAUGGGAGUGGUGGUGUGGCUCAUUGUGAUUCCUGCCAAGGGUUGGGCCAUCGAUACAGCCACUGGGGCCACAGGAGCCACAGAUACAGCCACAGGAGCCAUGGAGACAGGUGGGGGUGCCAUUCCCUGGGCAAUUGUUUGAGCCAGAGCAGCUGACAAUGGCGUGAUCUCUGGGUUCAAGUGUGGGGGUGGGGGUGGUGGAGCAGCAGGAGGUGCAGCAUUAGUUGGGGGAGCAGCUGGAGCUCCAGUGGGGGCCACCAGUUCUUGCUGGGAUACAGGGCGAGGCUGUAGAGCCUGGCUGCUGAGAGUAGUGUGAGUCUGGGCAAUGCCAUGGUUAAAAGUGGCAACAGUGCCCACAGUGGGGGCCAGAGUCUGCUCAGUUGCUGGUGCAGUAGAGCUCAGAGUCAUGACCUUGGCCUGAUUGCGGAACUGGGCAUUUUGUUCCAGCAGUACCUCAUUGGUGGCCAGCAGGUUGCUGACCUGCUUCUUAAGCUCCUCCACCCGCUUCCUGAGCAUGGCAUUCUCCUCCUCCAGCAGUCUGCACUCCACCCCUCGAGGUGGAGCCAAGCUAUAUUCAUAGGAUUCAAAAUGGGGGCCAUCCGGGGGGCAGCAUCCACCUCGCCGGCGCUUGGGGCCUGGUUCAUGGUCCUCAAAGCCCCUGUCAGGGAGGUCAUAGAUAUCAUAGAGGUCGUGACGUCGUCCUGGGGGGACUGGGCCUGUUGCACCACCACCACCACUGCCUCCUCCACCUCGAGCAUCAAACUCAAAAUCCCGCUGCAGGUGGCGAAACUUGCACUUGGCUCCUCUCUGGCAGUCACCCUUGAGAAAGUCACGGCAGAUAGGGACCUCCUCUUUGCCAUUCGGCAAGUCAGCUGGUGAAAGGCCCAGGCCAGCUGCCACUUUCUGCCUCAGCCGAGGGGGAAGCUCUCCUGUCUUCUUAUAACCAUCCUCAUCCUCCUUGGAGCCAUGGAUGAAUCGGCAGUUUGGGCGGCUACACUCCUUGUUCUGGAAGUCAUGGCAGAAGAUGAACUCAUUUUUGCUCACCCCCAAGUUGGAUACCUCACUCAUGUCUGGAUGACGAUAGCGGCAACGCUUGCCUCGCUUGCAUACAUUCCUCAAGAAGUCUC